AGCCCCGUGGUGGAGUACACAUCAGAUUGCAAAUCUUAAGACGCAGACUAACGUCUGCCGGGGCUU
This 66-nucleotide transfer RNA is filed under the name Schistura longa. RNAcentral describes it as "tRNA-Cys". It matches the Rfam family "tRNA". Rfam says of the family: Transfer RNA (tRNA) molecules are approximately 80 nucleotides in length. Their secondary structure includes four short double-helical elements and three loops (D, anti-codon, and T loops). Further hydrogen bonds mediate the characteristic L-shaped molecular structure. tRNAs have two regions of fundamental functional importance: the anti-codon, which is responsible for specific mRNA codon recognition, and the 3' end, to which the tRNAs corresponding amino acid is attached (by aminoacyl-tRNA synthetases). tRNAs cope with the degeneracy of the genetic code in two manners: having more than one tRNA (with a specific anti-codon) for a particular amino acid; and 'wobble' base-pairing, i.e. permitting non-standard base-pairing at the 3rd anti-codon position. The record is from RNAcentral. Lineage: Eukaryota; Metazoa; Chordata; Actinopteri; Cypriniformes; Nemacheilidae.